RNAcentral lists this ribosomal RNA (498 nucleotides) under uncultured bacterium. Its description in RNAcentral is "bacterial SSU rRNA". It matches the Rfam family "Bacterial small subunit ribosomal RNA", at positions 28 to 526 of the family's 1533-position model. The record is from RNAcentral.
GAUGAACGCUGGCGGCGUGCCUAACACAUGCAAGUCGAGCGGACUGAUCUAGCUAAAGCCUUCGGGUGGAAGCUAGUGAAGUUAGCGGCGGACGGGUGAGUAACGCGUGGGCAACCUGCCCUAUGCAGGGGGAUAACACGGCGAAAGUCAUGCUAAUACCCCAUAAGACUAAGUCAUCGCAUGGUGACAUAGUCAAAGAUUUAUCGGCAUAGGAUGGGCCCGCGUCUGAUUAGCUAGUUGGUGGGGUAAUGGCCUACCAAGGCGACGAUCAGUAGCCGACCUGAGAGGGUGAUCGGCCACACUGGAACUGAGACACGGUCCAGACUCCUACGGGAGGCAGCAGUGGGGAAUAUUGCACAAUGGGGGAAACCCUGAUGCAGCAACGCCGCGUGAGCGACGAAGGCUUUCGAGUCGUAAAGCUCUGUCCUAAGGGAAGAAUAAUGACGGUACCUUAGGAGGAAGCCCCGGCUAACUACGUGCCAGCAGCCGCCGUAAAAC